Molecule: long non-coding RNA, 441 nt
Filed under: Chinchilla lanigera (long-tailed chinchilla)
Lineage: Eukaryota; Metazoa; Chordata; Mammalia; Rodentia; Chinchillidae
Description: lncRNA (ENSCLAG00000026020.1)
Source: RNAcentral
CACCACUCUAAUUCAUAAGGACGAGACAGAAUUGAUUUCCUCAAAAUUGCCUGACUUUUUCUUUAUCUUUCUUUGGUUGGCUUGUUUCCUCUCUCUCUAAAAUAGUCAUUUCAACUACUAUAAAUAUUAUCCCAGCCUCCCACCCACCCAGCUCAGCAGAUGACUUGUUCUGCUACUUAACCAUGAAAAUGGGACAUAUUAGAGAGGAACCGUAUGAACUUUCCAGAAUCUACAAAUGACGUCCUGAAACUGCUUCUCUGCUGCUCCGUCACCAUGGAAGGCUGGUGAGCUCAGAGCAUCAUCAAGAAAAGCACUGCUACCUGAGUCCAGGGUGGACUCAAGGAUGCACCUCCCAUCCAGAAGCAGGUCUGCUCUGGCUCAGGCAAUGCACAGCACCUAAAACCUCCUGUAAAAUAAAUGCAAUACUUCUUCCUGGGCAAC